Molecule: transfer RNA, 75 nt
Filed under: Paracoccaceae bacterium
Lineage: Bacteria; Pseudomonadati; Pseudomonadota; Alphaproteobacteria; Rhodobacterales; Paracoccaceae
Description: Rhodobacteraceae bacterium tRNA-Val
Rfam family: tRNA
About the family: Transfer RNA (tRNA) molecules are approximately 80 nucleotides in length. Their secondary structure includes four short double-helical elements and three loops (D, anti-codon, and T loops). Further hydrogen bonds mediate the characteristic L-shaped molecular structure. tRNAs have two regions of fundamental functional importance: the anti-codon, which is responsible for specific mRNA codon recognition, and the 3' end, to which the tRNAs corresponding amino acid is attached (by aminoacyl-tRNA synthetases). tRNAs cope with the degeneracy of the genetic code in two manners: having more than one tRNA (with a specific anti-codon) for a particular amino acid; and 'wobble' base-pairing, i.e. permitting non-standard base-pairing at the 3rd anti-codon position.
Source: RNAcentral
ACGGCGGUAGCUCAGCGGUAGAGCAACUCGUUUACACCGAGUGGGUCGGGGGUUCGAAACCCUCCCGCCGUACCA